CCUGGCUCAGGACGAACGCUGGCGGCGUGCCUAACACAUGCAAGUCGAGCGGGGAUACAGGGAACGGAGGCUUCGGCGGAAGGGAGCUGUAUUCCAGCGGCGGACGGGUGAGUAACGCGUGAAUGAUCUGUCCCAGACAGGGGGAUAACACUUGGAAACAGGUGCUAAUACCGCAUAAGACCACGAAGCUGCGUGGCUAAGGGGUAAAAGGAGCGAUCCGGUUUGGGGUGAGUUCGCGUCUGAUUAGCUAGUUGGUGAGGUAAGGGCCCACCAAGGCGACGAUCAGUAGCCGACCUGAGAGGGUGAUCGGCCACAUUGGAACUGAGACACGGUCCAAACUCCUACGGGAGGCAGCAGUGGGGAAUAUUGGGCAAUGGGCGAAAGCCUGACCCAGCAACGCCGCGUGAGGGAAGAAGGUUUUCGGAUUGUAAACCUCUGUUGUGGAUGACGAAGGAAGUGACGGUAAUCCACAAGGAAGCCCCGGCUAACUACGUGCCAGCAGCCGCGGUAAUACGUAGGGGGCGAGCGUUGUCCGGAAUGACUGGGCGUAAAGGGCGCGUAGGCGGCUAAAUAAGUUAGGAGUGAAAUUCCAGUUUUCAAGAUUGGAACUGCUUUUAAUACUGUAUAGCUUGAGUGCAGAAGAGGUAAGCGGAAUUCCCAGUGUAGCGGUGAGAUGCGUAGAGAUUGGGAAGAACACCAGUGGCGAAGGCGGCUUACUGGGCUGUAACUGACGCUGAGGCGCGAAAGCGUGGGGAGCGAACGGGAUUAGAUACCCCGGUAGCCCUGGCCGUAAACGAUGGGUACUAGGUGUGGGAGGUAUCGACCCCCUUCGUGCCGGAGUUAACGCAAUAAGUACCCCGCCUGGGGAGUACGGCCGCAAGGCUUAAACUCAAAGGAAUUGACGGGGGCCCGCACAAGCGGUGGAGUAUGUGGUUUAAUUCGACGCAACGCGAAGAACCUUACCAGGGCUUGACAUCGACUGAAAGAUGCAGAGAUGUAUCCCUCUCUUCGGAGACAGGAAGACAGGUGGUGCAUGGCU
RNAcentral lists this ribosomal RNA (1039 nucleotides) under unidentified rumen bacterium JW21. RNAcentral's name for it is "bacterial SSU rRNA". It matches the Rfam family "Bacterial small subunit ribosomal RNA", at positions 18 to 1050 of the family's 1533-position model. Lineage: Bacteria; Bacillati; Bacillota. The record is from RNAcentral.